UCAAUAAUGGAGGAAAAGGGAAUAGGGCGGAGGCUCGUGGAACUCUAUUCACAGACGAGAUAAGUCUUCCUUGUUGAUGAAGCCUGCAACCAUGCUUUCACUCGAGGCCAUUUGAACAGGAAGCCGAUGGUGGAUGAAUGAAAAAGAGGAUAGAGGUUCAUGGAACUUCAUUUUGCAAAGCGAAUGAGACUUUCUCGUUGGUGGAACUUGAAACCAUUUUUUUUUUCUAAAUGUUUGAUGAAUGGAAAACCGAUAACGAAGAUAUAAGGAAGAGGGUAGAGGUUAGUGGAGUUCCACUCACAAAGGGACAAUGGAUGAAUAGGAAGUUGAUGGUGGAGGAGCAAGGUAGAGGGUGGAGGCUCAUAGAACUCCAUUCGCAAAGGGAUAAGACUUCCUCAUCAAUGGAUCUUGCAACCAUGUUUUCUCUUAAAGCCAUAUAAACAGAAAGCAAAUGGUGGAGGAACGAAAAGGCAGAUAAAAGCUUGGAGUUCCAUUCACAAAGGGGAUGGAACUUCCUUAUUAGUGGAACUUAGAACCAUGUAUGCUCUUAGUAUUUGAUGAACGGGAAGCCAAUAGUGGAGGAACGAAUAAGAGGGUAGACGCUAGUGGAGCUCCACUCACAAUGGGGACGAGACUUCCUUGUCAAUGGAACUCGUGAUCGAUGCUUUCUUUUGACAGUGGAUGAAGGGGAAGUCG
RNAcentral lists this long non-coding RNA (696 nucleotides) under Carica papaya (papaya). RNAcentral's name for it is "long non-coding RNA (CPAP_LNC003599)". Lineage: Eukaryota; Viridiplantae; Streptophyta; Magnoliopsida; Brassicales; Caricaceae. The record is from RNAcentral.